GGGCCCGCACAAGCGGUGGAUUAUGUGGUUUAAUUCGAAGCAACGCGCAGAACCUUACCUAGGCUUGAAAUCCUGCGAACCCGACGUAAUUGUUGGGGUGCCCGCAAGGGAAUGCAGUGACAGGUGCUGCAUGGCUGUCGUCAGCUCGUGUUGUGAAAUGUUGGGUUAAGUCCCGCAACGAGCGCAACCCUCGUCCUAUGUUGCCAGCACGUAAUGGUGGGAACUCAUGGGAUACUGCCGGGGUCAACUCGGAGGAAGGUGGGGAUGACGUCAAAUCAUCAUGCCCCUUAUGUCUUGGGCUUCACGCAUGCUACAAUGGCCGGUACAGAGGGCUGCAAUACCGCAAGGUGGAGCGAAUCCCAAAAAGCCGGUCUCAGUUCGGAUUGAGGUCUGCAACUCGACCUCAUG
RNAcentral lists this ribosomal RNA (408 nucleotides) under uncultured bacterium. RNAcentral's name for it is "bacterial SSU rRNA". It matches the Rfam family "Bacterial small subunit ribosomal RNA", at positions 917 to 1322 of the family's 1533-position model. The record is from RNAcentral.